RNAcentral lists this long non-coding RNA (481 nucleotides) under Homo sapiens (human). Its description in RNAcentral is "HSALNT0145473". Lineage: Eukaryota; Metazoa; Chordata; Mammalia; Primates; Hominidae. The record is from RNAcentral.
CAGCAGCGUCCGCACGGAGCCCAGCUCCGAAAGGUCCUUGACCGUCGUCUUGCCGUCCUUGAGCUGCUCAAACUGGGCUCUGCUGAGGACCCCGGAAGCCAGGAGCUCGCUGGCUGGCACAGGGGCACGGAGGCCGCUGAAGGACAGCCUCUCCUGCCGCAGGGUCUCCACCUCCUCCACGAUGGUAAUGAGAAUCUUGAUGACCUUCUCCACGGUGACCUUGCCCGUGCGGAACUGACGCAACAGCUCCUGCCGCUGCUCCGCAGUGAAGUACUCAGAGCUGAUGAGCUCCCACACCGUCACCGUCCUGCCCUUGAAGCCACCCACGGGGACCUCAACCGGGGUCUUUUCAAAGGUCUCACGGGCCUGCAGCUCUGAGUAGAGCUCCUCCUGCCGGGCCCGAGCAGCCUUUUCUGAGAGCGGCAGCAGGCUCAGCCCGGUCAGCUGGUCGGGCCGGCACCGCUGCUGGAGCUCGCCGUAG